Orcinus orca (killer whale) is the source of this 5298-nucleotide long non-coding RNA. RefSeq lists it as uncharacterized. The transcript has 4 exons. The record is from RefSeq and is a predicted model, not a curated record. NCBI's taxonomy places the organism in Eukaryota, Metazoa, Chordata, Mammalia, Artiodactyla, Delphinidae.
CCACCCCUGCGCCUGCGCAUUCUGAGCAUGGACUACAACUCCCAGACUGCAUCGUGCUGCCGCCCUCGCCCCUCUACUUCCUGCUGGGGCGUUUCGUGAGUGACAGCGUCUCUGCGAGUCCAAGAAAAGUUAAAGGUUGUCCAUAUCUGUAUCCUUUCUGAUAACUAAAGCACCUAGCAGGGAUGGAAGCCUCACCUCCUGAGUUAACCUUGUUUCAAAGCCUCAGGCCUUUCACUGCAUAAUCCCAGGAGGUGUCAUCCACAUCAAACUGUGAGGAAAGGAACAGAGCUGUGGACACCACUGGGGUGUGACAGGCAGCUGGGCAAGGAUCCAUCCAGGAAGGUGAGGCCAGGUCUCAAUGGGUGGGGAUGGGUGACAAAGGUUACUGGCUUGCACGGGCAGCUAGCUGUGCAGUGGCGGUGGAAGAAAGAGCCUCUGGCCACAGCCCAGCUCCAGAGGGCCCAGUCAGCCAUCUAGCUGUAUAUACCACUUGCUCGGGCCUCUCCUGGUCCGUGGCCUACUUUCUGCUUCCUAAUCUUACCUUUCCAGCCUAAUGCUCAUUUCAGCUAGAGUUCUUUCCCUGGGCCCAUUCUGAGCAAUUCCUGUGGCUCUGGCCUUGCAGGAAUUAUCUGAGUCAGACCCCAGACUCACCCCACACCUCAGCCAGGGGAGGACCCUCCCCGCUACCUUGGCACCUGCGGAAGCAGAUGGUUCUUUCUGUUCUCGUCGUGCUCUCAUUGUGAAUCAUCUCCAGGCAUUGCAGGUAGAAUUUGUCAGCUUCUAAUGUCAGCUAAGCUUUCAAACUGGCAUCUUCGCAGCCUAGUGAAGAUGAUAUGAUUUUAAUGAAGUGUGCAUCUCAACAGCGACUGACCCGGCAGGUUAGCACAGUAAUAACAGCUUUUGUUUGAGCAAGGCACGGUGCAAGUUGCUUUACAUGCUGCAUCUCUACUCCUCACAAGAGAGCACGUUGUCCCAACUUUAUGGAGAAAAUGGGCUCCCAGAGAGCAGCUUCUCAUGGCUAGAGCACGUCAGAGCAUCAGCUUGGGCCCCUGGCUCCCGACUCCAGGGCCCGGGCGCUCACACGAGCCUUCACAGACAUACUGGUUUAUGUUAAAACAGCCCUUAGCACAGCAUUGUCCUCACUGUCUGUGGAAUUACUGCAUUUCCCUCUAAAUCCCAAUUCCGAGUGAGUGCCUCUCCUCCCCCGGCCAUAGCCUCUGUCAGAAUGCUCCCCUCGGAAUUCAGUACACUCAGUUCCAUGAAAACCAUUCGUACCCCGAGCCUGGUUCGCUGAGUUGCUUUGGGAAAUAUACUGUUUCCAAAUUAAAACUGCCACAUAAAUGUGAGGGGAGGUAUUGGUGCAUUUCUCUCCCUGGCUGGCCGCGAUCUGUUACGUCUGCACCUUUUCUUUUUCAGAAUCUCCCUUUCUCAUCGCUGCGUCCAGCAACGCCCGCCCUCCAUCUCACAGAAUGUAGUUGCAUUUUAAGCCAACACCCCUUAAAAUCUUACACAUGUCUUUUCUUUUUAAGAACAAAAUAAUACACUUAAGAACAUACCAAUUUAACCAAAUAGGCUUAAUUGUGGGGCUGUCACAGCGGUGUGUAUUUGGUAGAAUAUUGUGUUCUCGUUUCACCGUAUUCAGAGAGGAUGAGUGAGAGACUUUAUGUUCCUUUAAGUCAUAAUUUACAAGGCAGUUUUACAAAUGUUUUCUCACUGGCCCCUUAAGAAUCUCUCAGAGGCUUAGACAAGUUGGUAUUUCACAGAAGAGGGAGAGUGACUGUCCGUGAUCCUGCAGCUGAUGUGGAGAGAGAAGGCCUUCUGGUCUAAGACCUGUGCACUUUGACUCCACCUCACACUAAAUUCAGGUCCUUUUUUCUCUUUUUUUAUGAACAUAUAUCCCCAUAUCUCCUCCCUCUUGCGUCUCCCUCCCUCCCUAUCCCACCCCUCUAGGUGGUCACAAAGCACCAAGCUGAUCUCCCUGUGCUAUGCGGCUGUGAUGCAAGAACACCUCACCCUCCUUCCCUUGUUCACACAGUACGCCAAGAGUUCUGGGCAGUGCCCACCGCUUCGCUGGCUAUCGUCUGACAGGGCCGGGGAGGGUCUCUGAAGGCUCCUCUGUUCCCUGGAGCCUGGGAGGUGGAGCUCACCAUCCCUUCCUGCAGCUCCGUAGGCUCUACUUUGCAGGUUAGGAGCAUCCAUUCACACCGACUGCAGGAGGGAUCAGCAGCUCAGUGCGCUUCGGAGCCUGGCCUCCAGAAAGCUUCUCCUUUCCUCGCUGCUGCCAGAAAGGAAAGAAGGAACCUUCAAUCCAACCUCUCUAGCCAGGGAUCCUCUUGUAGGUACAGCUCAAAUCCCACUACCUGCAGGAAGCCUGAGCCGUUCUUUGGUAUCCUUACUACGCUUCGUUGUUUACCACGUGAAAUCAUUUAUUUUUGUGCUUGACUGAUGAAGGUGUCAUGCUGAUGUAAUGGGCACCUAUCACUCGGUGAAUAAUCCUCAGAAUAGGUACAGAGAAAACUGGACUAAGGUCCCUACUUGUCCUGAGGCCACUGAACUGAUAUCAUGGACAUACCAGUAAUGUUGAACAGAAACGCACACAGCACCUUCUCAAAGCGUAUUCAGUGGGCCAGACUCCAGCAGCUGUUUUCUUCCCUCCGGUGAAUGCAUCCAGCCUGCCUGGAGGGGAAGCCGUGUUGGUUCUGUAAGAUGCUGUAGGAGAAUCCAUCAGGGUGAAGCAGAGAACCCUUAACAAGAGCAGGGCUCAGGCUGGCAUGAGAGCAACAGCCUUCAUUCCCCCAGCUUUACACUUCAGGAAACUCCUCCUUACCUUUCAGGUAGCAGAUAUACACAGAAAGGGCCACGACGGGCCUUUCCCAUAGGGAAAGCAGGAGGCCCUUAUAGGGAAGUGAAAUGCCAGCCUGCUUAAAAGUGUCUCCAUCGUGGGUCUAUUAGGUGGCUCUGGGUUAAAGCACUCUUACCAGAAGGGCCCUGAAGUGACAUAAACAUAGUGGACACUCAAGAAGAGUCUAUUGGGCUUCCCUGGUGGCGCAGUGGUUGGGAGUCCGCCUGCCGACGCAGGGGACGCAGGUUUGUGCCCCGGUCCGGGAAGAUCCCACAUGCCGCAGAGUGGUUGGGCCCGUGAGCCAUGGCCGCUGAGCCUGCGCGUCCAGAGCCUGUGCUCCGCAGCGGGAGAGGCCACAACAGUGAGAGGCCUGCGUACCGCAAAAAAAAAAAAAAAAAAGAAAAGUCUAUUGAUAAUUAUCAAGGGCAGUUUCUCUCUCUUUUUCUCUCCUUCUCUCUCUCUGACACACAUAUGAUACCAAGCAAAACAGAAAUCAGAAAUCAAAGUGACUUUAAUCUUUCUCUUUAAUCUGCUCUGUAUUUCCAAAUUUUCAUUUUCUUUUAAAAUUAGCAUCUUUUUCCUCAGUACAAAAAUAAAGAAAAAAAUUAGUAGCUCACCUGUCCUUAAGGUGACCAUUAUUAACAGCUUCAUAUCUACACCUUUAUCCUUUCGAAUUCAAACUUUUUUGGGGGUGUCCACUGUUGUCUUUGCAAAAAGGAGAUCAAAAUAGGAACCUUUCUUUUCAUCUUGAUCUUCAUUCUUUAUAAUACAUCCUGGUCCCCUGUCCAGAACAACAGAUAUUCUUAAUUUGUUCUUUUUUAUUGGUGCAUAACAUCCCACAGAAUGGAUCAACCCCAGUUUAUUCAAUCAUUCAGUUAUCAACAUUCAAGUUCUUUCUGAUUUUGUCACUACAGAGAAGUCUGUAUUGCUCUAAUAUUCUUCUAUAAUCAUGUAUUAUUUAUAUUAGAAAAUAUCAUUUAGACUAUAAAAAUAGAGAGAUAAUUACUAUAAAGUCAAGAAACAGAUGCUGAAUGAACAGAUAAAUGAAUGUAUUAAAAUGUUACCUGGGAGUGGGGCCACAUGCCAUUUCUACCUUGAAAUAAUCAUCUUUGCACUGUGGGCCCUGACUCCCAACGUGGACUGCAAAUGCCUCAAGAUCAGGAAGCAGGCCUCUUUCUUCCUCAUCGCCUCCAAACUGCUGAGCACGGUUCUGCGGAGGGUGGGCAGCCGCAGGCCCACACAACGCACUGAGCCCUCAUAGUGUCUUUUGAAAACAGCUGUCUAGAUUUCAGAAUGCAAGUUUCCCACGUGUACGAUGUUAUAAAAUGGUGUAUUCCCGGGCCAGCCCACAAACUCUUAUUUUAACCCAUAAUGAAGGAAAACUAUAUACUUUUACCAUCAUGGUUUCUUAUUAUUUCUGUGGGAAAAAUGUUCUGAAUUGAGUUUCUGCAUGCAGAGAAUCCUCCUCUACUCUGUGUGUGUGUGUGUGUGUGUGUGUGUGUGAGAGAGAGAGAGAGACAGAGACAGAGACAGAGACAUCCUACCCUUUACUGCCUUCAAAUGAGUUGUUUUCUCUCCCUUCUGCCAAUCCUGUUAUAUGUGGAAGUUGAGCAAGUAAAAUAGGAAAUAUGAUGACUAAAUGUGGAAGUGCCAGAAAGAAGAAAGGCAAAAAAAGAAAAAAUUUAACAUAAAAUUUUGAUAAUUUGCUUAGAGUCUUCAUUCAUGUUUGAGAUCUAAGAAUUUGAAUUUGAUUGCUAAGAAUAUAGUAAUAUUCUUGCAUACAAAUGAAAUGAAACUACAAGUAGAAGAGAUUCUUUAGUUGUUAUAGAUUUCUCCUAAGUCAAACUUUUUCAAAUGGCAUAUUUAAAACAUGAUGUGAAUCAAAGCAAAAGCUUAUUUAAAUAUUAAUAAUGAUUAUGGAAUGUAUCACUUAUUAAUAGCCAUUGAUCUGGACACACGUUAGUUUGUUUUUAUAUGUUCCUUUGGAGAGUCCUGUUUGGAGAGUCAUUAAAAAUGAAUAUUUUGAUAAAAUUAAAGACUGGGAGAAACUAUAUAGCAUUUGUAGGAAAAAAUUAUCUUCUACACAGAGAUUUAAAAAUUCUUAUAAGAAUGUAGUGUAAAAUAUAAGAUGUAUUAACCAGUGCUUUGUUUUUUGAAGUCCCAAGGAUAAAACUAGCUAAAACUUACAAGUCGGGCUUCCCUGGUGGUGCAGUGGUUAAGAAUCCGCUUGCCAAUGCAGGGGACACAGGUUUAAGCCCUGGUCCGGGAAGAUCCCACGUGCCAUGAGCAACUAAGCCUGUGCGCCACAACUACUGAGCCUGUGCUCUAGAACCCGCGAGCCACAACUACUGAAGCCCGCACACCUAGAGGCUGUGCUCCGCAACAAGAGAAGCCACCGCGAUGAGAAGCCCACGCACUGCAACGAAGACCCAACGCAGCCAAAAAUAAAAUAAUUU